Molecule: unclassified non-coding RNA, 320 nt
Filed under: Hevea brasiliensis (rubber tree)
Lineage: Eukaryota; Viridiplantae; Streptophyta; Magnoliopsida; Malpighiales; Euphorbiaceae
Source: RNAcentral
UGCGGUGAAGAGUACCUGUAUCCAGUUCUUGUGAAUCAAGAUGAUCAUAAUCGUCAAGAAAGUGCACGCAUUAGCUGCAAUCAUUCCACCUCACCCAAUUUAUUUGGUGGAUUGUAUCAUGACGAUAUUGAUGAUGAUAUUAUUGACAUGGAAGCUGAAAUUCUCUGUGAAAGGUCUUCGCAAUUUGGAGCUUCCAACUUGAACAAUGGGCAUUACCGGCAGAUGCAAACGGUUCAAACAAUUACUGAAACUGUGCCUUCUUCAACAUUUGACCAGAAUGGAAGUGAAAAGAAUCGUAUACUACAAAUGGAUAUUUCCUC